AGACCCGAAACCCGGUGAUCUAGCCAUGGGCAGGUUGAAGGUUGGGUAACACUAACUGGAGGACCGAACCGACUAAUGUUGAAAAAUUAGCGGAUGACCUGUGGCUGGGGGUGAAAGGCCAAUCAAACCGGGAGAUAGCUGGUUCUCCCCGAAAGCUAUUUAGGUAGCGCCUCGUGAAUUCAUCUCCGGGGGUAGAGCACUGUUUCGGCUAGGGGGCCAUCCCGGCUUACCAACCCGAUGCAAACUGCGAAUACCGGAGAAUGUUAUCACGGGAGACACACGGCGGGUGCUAACGUCCGUCGUGAAGAGGGAAACAACCCAGACCGCCAGCUAAGGUCCCAAAGUCAUGGUUAAGUGGGAAACGAUGUGGGAAGGCCCAGACAGCCAGGAUGUUGGCUUAGAAGCAGCCAUCAUUUAAAGAAAGCGUAAUAGCUCACUGGUCGAGUCGGCCUGCGCGGAAGAUGUAACGGGGCUAAACCAUGCACCGAAGCUGCGGCAGCGACACUGUGUGUUGUUGGGUAGGGGAGCGUUCUGUAAGCCUGUGAAGGUGGCCUGUGAGGGUUGCUGGAGGUAUCAGAAGUGCGAAUGCUGACAUAAGUAACGAUAAAGCGGGUGAAAAGCCCGCUCGCCGGAAGACCAAGGGUUCCUGUCCAACGUUAAUCGGGGCAGGGUGAGUCGACCCCUAAGGCGAGGCCGAAAGGCGUAGUCGAUGGGAAACAGGUUAAUAUUCCUGUACUUGGUGUUACUGCGAAGGGGGGACGGAGAAGGCUAUGUUGGCCGGGCGACGGUUGUCCCGGUUUAAGCGUGUAGGCUGGUUUUCCAGGCAAAUCCGGAAAAUCAAGGCUGAGGCGUGAUGACGAGGCACUACGGUGCUGAAGCAACAAAUGCCCUGCUUCCAGGAAAAGCCUCUAAGCAUCAGG
Molecule: ribosomal RNA, 920 nt
Filed under: Salmonella enterica subsp. enterica serovar Newport
Lineage: Bacteria; Pseudomonadati; Pseudomonadota; Gammaproteobacteria; Enterobacterales; Enterobacteriaceae
Description: partial 23S ribosomal RNA
Rfam family: Bacterial large subunit ribosomal RNA
Source: RNAcentral